AAACCAGAGGUUCUGCUUCCACUCAAGGGGAGGGGAUUACACAAAGGCAUGAGAAACAGGGAUAACUGGGGGUAAUUUCAGAGUUUGUCUGCCAUAGAUCCCUAACACAGAAGCGAGUUAUAGGACAUUACCAAAUUUUCAAUGUUUGAGCUUACAAAAAGUAAUUAUGGGUGAGAAUUGAUGCAGAACCUCAUCUACAAUCAAUUUGUCACCAGGAGAAGUGGAAGAAGAGGAUGAUGAUGAAAAUACGUGUGGGCCAUCAGGACUUUGGGAAGCAUUAACUCCGUGUAAUGGAUGUAGGAACCUUGGCUUCCCCAUGCUUGCCCAGGAGUCCUAUCCAAAGAAGAGAAAUUACACUAUGGAAAUUGUACC
RNAcentral lists this small RNA (372 nucleotides) under Pongo abelii (Sumatran orangutan). RNAcentral's name for it is "processed transcript". The record is from RNAcentral. Lineage: Eukaryota; Metazoa; Chordata; Mammalia; Primates; Hominidae.